Molecule: long non-coding RNA, 2542 nt
Organism: Ochotona princeps (American pika)
Lineage: Eukaryota; Metazoa; Chordata; Mammalia; Lagomorpha; Ochotonidae
Exons: 4
Source: RefSeq, a predicted model, not a curated record
GGAAGGAUCCAAGUACCUGCAGAUAUAAGUAGUCAGGACAAAAGCAAAAUUCAGCACACAGAAUCAGCCCAUGAAGCUCAAAGGACCAGCCCAGUCGAGAUGGUCAAUAUGCAGGGAUUCUGGCAGAGUACUGAGUAGCUCAGUGAGGUCAGUCCUGUGAGGUGCUGGCACUGAGUGUUGAAUUCAGGAAGCCUCCUGGGGCUUGGGGCAGGGAACACUCUCAUAGUCCCAGCUUCUUUAUGUUGACCACCACCAACUUCCUGAUGCCAAAGGAAGAACCACGAAACCCUUUACUUUCUCCUUUCAAAAAAAUGUGUGCCUGCAUUGAACACCAACUCACAGUGGCCUUUUGACCCCAGUGAGAAGCCUUCCAGAGUGAUAUCUACCUGGUUGGCCUGGAGUAGAGGACACAAUGUGAGUUCAUCUUAGAAAGGAGAAUAACACCAACCAUUACUACUCAAUCAUGUGGCUGGAAAAGGGAUCCCACUACAGAGCCUUUGAGAUCCUGUGGGAUGGAAGAGCUUCAUCAUGCCACCAUUUGAUUGUAAGCCCUGCUGCCAAUGGACCAGACUGAAGGACAUUUCAGAUAUACCUACUGUCCCAGUUGUGAAUGAGUUCAUCAACUCUGCUCCCCACACCCAUCUCUGAUAUGGGGAAGACUUCUAAGCCCAGUGCUUGCUCAGAGAGUGGACCGGGCAGGUCUUUGACAGACUAGUGCCAUCACCUAGAUUCCAGCUGCAUUCCACCUCUCUCUGAGGCAUCCCUCCACUGUCCCUAUUAUUAUGUGUUAAGGCAAAAAUGCCCAGAAGUGGAGUUCGAGGAAUUGCUGACUGCAUCCUCAUCACUGAACGACAUAGGAGCCAUGAUUCAUUAUUCAUAUCUACCAAAGGGCACAAUGGACCUGGAAGAUACUCAAGAUGCGGAUGCACCUAGGGUGUCUGUGACAAGUGAAGCCCCCAGUGAUGCAGAGAACACGACAUGUCCUGAGGUUGAAAUGAAUAGUCAGACUGACAGUGUAAAUGACCCCACAGAGUGUCAGCCAGAAGACUGACUGGGGCUCAAGAUGAAGCAAAGGAACAAUAAAAUACAACAAAACGACUGUGUUCUGCUUUGCAAGGCCUCUCCUGGUUCUCCAGGACUUCGGGAAGACUGUCAGCACACGCUGAGGAAGAGGGGGGUGGGUGGGAAGGCAAGUCCCAUGAAAAAAUGGGGACUCCUUUGCUCUAAUUUCUCCAGCUGUGUUUUGUUCUGUUUACCCGCGGAAAAAGAAAGGGGAAAAAAUGUUUUCUUUAAUUUGGUGGGAGAAUUCGUGUUAAUGCAUCUUUCAGGCACUAUCCUGUCAUUUCUGUGUUUUCGCUCACAACUUUGGCCCACAGUCAUGGUGGGACAGAUGAACGCUAGCCCCCAUCUGCUUUCUCAGUUAUUUCACAAAGCUGGUUGUACAGUGAUUUCUUCAGAGAAAGAGAAGGAAGAUGAUGUUUGAUAAGCUGCAGGCUGACUUUCAGGAAAUCAGCAAACACAACAUGAGCACAAUCCGGACAGUGAAGGCAGGGAAAGAAGUGGGCAACAGUCCUCAAAUACCACUAUGAAAGGUUCUGCACAAGGAGUUGAAAAUGUUUUAAUCACACAGUAAAUCAGGAAUAGGGGAACAGGGUUUAAACCAGAGCAGAAAAACAAGGCCCAACAAGGAAGAGUCUCUUCCUUCCUAGCCAAGAUGGCAGGUGCACUCUGCUUGGAUGUUAGUCUUAGCUCUACAACUGCCAGGGAUGGCGUUUGGAGGGGUGCUGUACUUUCCAGCUAAGAAGGGGGCUGUCGUAUUUAGGAAUCAACUAGAUGUCUGAGAAUAUUGAAAGUUCCACUGGAAGUGUCUUAACAUACAAGUGUUUCAUGAGAGAACAGCCCUUCUUGACUCAAGGCCUGAUGAUCCACAAGUACAUUUUCAUUUGAACUGAGAGGCAAUCAGGACUUUAACUAGUAGUGUGCCCAUUCUGGUCUGCGUGCAGCUGGUAUGAUUUGCUCAUGCCAACUCCCAAGCUGACUUGGUGCCUGAGUCGCUCACCUAAAAGACCAAUCAGUACAGCUGUGAAGAGAAGCUGCGGUAUUACUAACCCUUACAUGCUGGCGGCACAGUCAUGGCUGAAGGGGCCAGGUGUCAUUAUAGACACCUGUCCCACAACCACAAUGGACAGGGUGCCUCCUUUGAGUCCCAAGGCCAUUCCAUUGUUUUUCUAGAAAAUUGAUGAUCUACAUAUUUUCUUAAAAUUGUUAUUAUUUGUAUUUGUUUUCUCAAUAUAGGAAAGUAACAUAUCAAACAAAGUAUUUCAAACAUAAAAAGACAUUCUGCUUUCUAGAUAGCCCAUCGAACUCUUCACUGUUCCUCUUUCUUCUUUGGAAAAUUCACUGUUGUUUCUUAUGACUUUUAUUUUGGCAUUUCUGAAUAUUUUACCCCAUCUGUAUGGCUUGUUGUGUAUGCCGGAAUAACUAGAAAGUUAUAAUUCAGCACAGGUAACAUGUUUUAGCAUCCUUGUUUUCCUUUAGAACU